RNAcentral lists this unclassified non-coding RNA (354 nucleotides) under soil metagenome. RNAcentral's name for it is "partial contains 5.8S ribosomal RNA, internal transcribed spacer 2, and large subunit ribosomal RNA". The stretch from base 1 to 120 matches the Rfam family "5.8S ribosomal RNA", at positions 35 to 154 of the family's 154-position model. The record is from RNAcentral.
GAUGAAGAACGUAGCGAAAUGCGAUACGUAAUGUGAAUUGCAGAAUUCAGUGAAUCAUCGGGUCUUUGAACGCACAUUGCGCCCCCUGGCAUUCCGGGGGGCAUGCCUGUCCGAGCGUCAUUUCUGCCCUCCAGCCCGGCUGGGUGUUGGGCGCUGUCCCCCCGGGGACACGCCCCAAAGGCAGUGGCGGCGCCGCGUCGGGUCCUCGAGCGUAUGGGGCUUUGUCACCCGCUCGGGACGGACUCGUCGGCGCUGGUCUUCCUCCAGGCGACCCUUCGGGGCUCGUCUUCCUUCGGUUGACCUCGGAUCAGGUAGGGUUACCCGCUGAACUUAAGCAUAUCAAUAAGCGGAGGA